This is a long non-coding RNA of Grus americana (Whooping crane), 893 nucleotides long. RefSeq lists it as uncharacterized. NCBI's taxonomy places the organism in Eukaryota, Metazoa, Chordata, Aves, Gruiformes, Gruidae. The transcript has 3 exons. The record is from RefSeq and is a predicted model, not a curated record.
AAAGGCCCCGAGGUGUGACCUUCAGUCGGGAAAGUCCUAGCAUGAGUUCUUUUCUCUUCUUUUAACGCUGCUGUAGGCUCGUAAUGGCCCGGAGAACUUGAUACCUGGCUUUCAGACAAAACGGACUGCAAAGGAACACCAACGUCAGCAGUGUGGGAGUGAAAGCAAGGAAGUGAAGCAGCUGGUCGAGAUGAAACGCCGAUCAGAAGCGCUUCUGGAGGAAAUGUGGCGGAGAAACAGUGCGCUGAAGGAAGAACGUACCAGGCAUGGCUUUUUAGUGCUUUAAAGAAGUAUCAUGUUGAGUGGAAGUCAAGCUUUACUGAAAUCUCAUGUAAAGGCACGUACAUAACCGUCUGUGAGCAAAUUCAAGCCUCGCGUUCAAUCUUGCAAAGUGCUUCUGUGCCUGAGCCUAUGGUUUGAAAAAGCUGCAAAAGGCCUUGCAAAAUCAGGCGGCCUGCAGUUCUCCUGGGAGGGAAGGAAGUCUUUUCUUCCUCUGUUCAGGUAAACUUUGGGCCUUCCAAGUGAUGACUGGCACUGCAGUGCUGGCUGUCCUCAGCAAUUCCUGGCCUGCAAUUCAAGCACACUACAGAUGAAGCAAGCCAUGGCUGUGCUGCUUACGUAAGAGUACGUGAAAAAGGCCAACUGUUGCUUUGCUUCACGCUUUCCUCACUGAUUUGCUGUGCAGGUUGAAGAUGCUUCUGGAGGGAGCUCGGGCAAAGGUAAAGGCAUAUGCAGAGAAGGAGAGAGAGAAAGAGUCCCAGCUCAGUUUCCAGGGAGAGAUGAAUAACAGCUGUUCGGAGGUGGCCAGCCAAGUUGGUAAACUAAGAAGAAAGCCGGUCACCAUACAUCAAGAUUUUCAUACGAAAAAGCAGGUGACAAAUGCAGUCUCGAUG